RNAcentral lists this small RNA (810 nucleotides) under uncultured Dendryphion. RNAcentral's name for it is "eukaryotic LSU rRNA". The stretch from base 527 to 810 matches the Rfam family "Eukaryotic large subunit ribosomal RNA", at positions 1 to 281 of the family's 3401-position model. Lineage: Eukaryota; Fungi; Ascomycota; Dothideomycetes; Pleosporales; Pleosporaceae. The record is from RNAcentral.
CUUGGUCAUUUAGAGGAAGUAAAAGUCGUAACAAGGUUUCCGUAGGUGAACCUGCGGAAGGAUCAUUAACAAUUCGCGCUCCGGCGUGAUGCGUAUACCCUGCACUUUGAGCACCUUUUAUACUCCCCCCGGCGGGGCAACCCGCCGGACGGGACAACCACAAAACCCUUUGCAUUAGAAAUCAUGUCAGUACAAAACAAAAUAAAUUAAAACUUUCAACAAUGGAUCUCUUGGCUCUGGCAUCGAUGAAGAACGCAGCGAAAUGCGAUAAGUAGUGUGAAUUGCAGAAUUCAGCGAAUCAUCGAAUCUUUGAACGCACAUUGCGCCCUUCGGUUAUUCCUUAGGGCAUGCCUGUUCGAGCGUCAUUUCAACCUUCAAGCUCAGCUUGGUGUUGGGUGUUUGUCCCGCCCCCCGCGCGUGGACUCGCCUCAAAUUGAUUGGCAGCCACAUCCCCCCGCCGCGAGCGCAGCACAGUCGCGCUUACGACGUGGGUGGGUCGGCGAUCCAGAAGCCUAUUUCAACGUCUUGACCUCGGAUCAGGUAGGGAUACCCGCUGAACUUAAGCAUAUCAAUAAGCGGAGGAAAAGAAACCAACAGGGAUUGCCUUAGUAACGGCGAGUGAAGCGGCAACAGCUCAAAUUUGAAAUCUGGCCUCUUUGGGGUCCGAGUUGUAAUUUGCAGAGGGUGCUUUUGGUGUUGGCCGUGGUCUAAGUUCCUUGGAACAGGACGUCACAGAGGGUGAGAACCCCGUACGUGGCCGCCGGCCCUCGCCUUGUAAAGCCCCUUCGACGAGUCGAGUUGUUUGGGAAU